Molecule: long non-coding RNA, 346 nt
Filed under: Mus pahari (shrew mouse)
Lineage: Eukaryota; Metazoa; Chordata; Mammalia; Rodentia; Muridae
Description: lncRNA (MGP_PahariEiJ_G0004580.1)
Source: RNAcentral
AAGAGCUUGCGGUGGCUGGGGCUGCGCUGGGGGUGCCGAAAGGUGGCCGUGUGGUGGCUGUGGAAGAGAAAAAGGCAGAAGUCACAGCUGGCCCCUGGGAACCGAAGAUGGGAUAAUGCCAGGUGUGCAUCAGAGGACCAGCUGAGACCUUUGCAAUCCUGAAAGACUUAAGUGAAGAUGGCUACUUGGUUCACAUUGCCUAAAAGAGCCCUUAAAGUCUUCUGUCUUCAGGUCUAGCUCUUGCCUGCUGUGAGGAGUCUUCCUGUGCUACUGGCAGGUUGGACCAGAGGCUCAGCAGCUCUCUGAAGCUCCAGCAACAGGCGCCACCUCCAGCAGCUGAGAAAGC